Alligator mississippiensis (American alligator) is the source of this 6540-nucleotide RNA transcript. It is a transcript of the gene named scleraxis bHLH transcription factor, with no coding region annotated. NCBI's taxonomy places the organism in Eukaryota, Metazoa, Chordata, Crocodylia, Alligatoridae. The transcript is spliced from 2 exons. The record is from RefSeq and is a predicted model, not a curated record.
CCAGACCCCCGCACGGCGCACGCGGCUGCCUCCCUGCGCGCACGGAGAGCCGCCUCUAACACCCGCCCGUGCUGCCGGGGAGGAAAGCGGAGCCGGCAGGAGACGGGGAGGCCGGCUGGGAACGUAGCGGGGGCUGCGGAGAUGAGCGGGGCUGGAGGACGGGCUAGCCGGCACGAGCCCCCUCGUUAGAGAAGCACGGCGGUGGCAGGAGGAGAGGAUGGAGCUCAGCCCUGCGGCACCCGGCUUGCAGCCACAGGUGCUGCCCCGUGUCUGCUACCUGCCGAGGGGGGCGGCGAGGCCGGUGACCCGAGCGAACGGCUUGAGCUGGGGACAGCACGGGGUGGGAGCAGAGAGGGAGAGGAAGGGCAGGGAGAACUCGCGGCAAGGAGGACGGGUCUGGCUGCACCCGGCAAGCGUGAUUCCCUGCAGCCCCGAGCAUGGCGCCGCCAGGGCAAAGGCAGGUGCCACGACCGUCUCCCUGGUGCGAGGCGCUCAUGCUGGGGGCGCCAGGCUGCAGGAUGAGAGGGAUGCAAUGCAUGGCGUCAGGGCAAAACUCACCAGUAGCUGCCGAUGCUUUGCAUGGCAGGGAUGGGUGCUGCAAAUCCAUGCAGGCCAGAGAAUGACCCCCAGCCCCGUGCCUGGCCUGAGACAGCUGCCCGGGCCAGGGAGAGGCUGGACGGCUUUGUGGAGGCCGUGGGGAGGCAGCAGCGGGCAGGCAGCUUGGCUGCUGAUCUGCUGUAUGAGGCAAUGGAGGAGUCUGCAUGUCCCAGCCCAUCUAAACAGGGCAGGGCAGAAGCAGCGGGUGCAAGGGAGGGCACCAAACCAGCCGUCCGCAGGGCUCCCGGCCCCAGCCUGGCUUGGCGGCUUGCUGGGACCUCUACGGUGCAGCGCAUCGUGGAGGAGAGGCUGGGAGCUGAUCUGCGGGAGACGCGGUUCAGCCCAGAGCUUGGGCACAGCUUUCCUUUCCGUUCCUUGCAAGAAAGCCAGGGAAGGUGUGAAGGAGCACUGGAGCCCGUGGUGCUCCGGAGAAAGCACCCUGCAGUGCAGGGGGGACACGGGACAGGCUUUCCCUUCCAGUCCUGAGCCUGGGAGGUUUGGAUCUGGCUGCCCUGGGCCACGGAAAGGCGAAGAGACGGUGGAGAGCAAGGCCUGUGUGUAGGGCCGGCGGGAGGGUUACAGCAUGUGCGUGCCCGUCUCCAGCCCCAGCCAGGAAUGGCUGCAGAGGGGAAGCCUUUGCUGACCGCCCAGGGCCUCUCAGACAAUGGAGCCUGGGUCGCGCCGUGGAGAUGACCAACCUGACAGCUCCGAGGGAGGUAGACCCGUCAGGCUGUCUCCUCCAGCGCAAGGCAGCCAAGCAGGUCGGGCGCCCCAGGCUCGCCUGCGCCCUUCGGAGGUCUCCCGAGAUCCAUUCGACGAGGCGCAGCAAGGAGCAAGACCCCGGCAUCAGGUCUCAGAGCAACCUCACUUCAUCUCACCGAGUCUCGGCGCUGCCUGGAGAGCGGCGGGGCCGGGCGGAGACUGACGCCGGACGGCAGUGGUGCUGGCCGUGCCUACGCAACGCAGCGUACCGGAGACGAGCGCACGGGCCCGUCCCCGUCCCCAGCCUGGGCUCCUGCAGCUCACCCGUACCUACGCGCCAAAUGCUGCGCAGAGCAGAUGCCCUUUGGGCAUCCUCUGCCCAACCGGCUCUGCCCGUCUCUAGCGCCAGCACCCACAGCCCUGGUACAGCGCUUUCAGCCGUCAGCCUCCUGCCCCGCCGCUGCCCUGGGUUAGGCCCUUUCCUUCCCCGUGCAGCCAGUCUCCUCCUCUUCAGUCCUCUUCACUAUCGAGGCAGAGCAGACACCAACACGUGUCAGCGGAGACAGGGAAAUUUGGUUUUACCACGAGCUGGGAGGUAACGAGUUCUUCUGCUGCUAGAAAACACUUGUCUGCACAGCGAGUGGCCUGGGUCUCCUGAGAUAGGGAGCAAAGAAAUGCAAUCCAUCUCCCCUGCAGCUGCGAGCGCCGCGUCGCCGAGUCUGCCUGCACCCGCUGCUGGCGCUCGGGAAGCCACGCCGGCCACGUCUGGGAGACAGGGAGCCUCCUGCCCUUGGCAAACCCCAGGACCCUGAGUCGCCGCUGCCUCGGCACGGGCCAGCGCCCACGGACAUCAGGGAUUCAGGGACUGCUGGGAUUUGGGCAUCAAAAGUCUUUCUGCAAUCCGGCUCCCUCCACAUGCAGCUUCCAGCAGUGUCAAGGCAUGCCCCUGCCCCAUUCCCCCGGGGCCCGGGGUCUGCUGACAGCAAGGCCCCGGAGGAGGGCAGCUGGCAGGCAUCGCUGUCCAAACGGCCCAGCCCCGUCUGCCACAUGGGACUGUCAGGAUGCUGCUUCCCCCACGGCCAUCUCCACGGCACGGGCCUGUGUCUCGCAAGCGGAGGCUGCCCAAAAAGCCGGCACAGAGGGACUUCCUGGCACUUCCUCCACCCUGGACGGCGCUUGCUUGCACACGCGUGUGUCAAAUCUGGCAGCUCUCCCUGAGGCCAGAUGUGGGAAUACCCACCCCAACUUAGGGUGUUGCACACCCAUGGGGACUUGGCACAGAUGUGCAGCCUGGCAGCAAGGUGGUGAGCACGGCCUGGCCAUCACGGGCUCCGCUGACACCCCCCAGCAACAGCCCAGCAUCAUCCCCAUCCUACUGACACCGGCAGGCCCCGAGGUGAAGCGCCUGCCUCAGUUUCCCUGCAUCACACCAUGCAGCUCGUGCAGGACAUGGUCCCCGUCGGCGGGCUGCAGAGAUGCUCUGUGAGGAUGCAUGCUCAGACGCCUCACCGAGGGCCCCAUCUGCUCUAGCGGCGUCCGAAAGUGCUAGCAACAGGCAAGGAUGUGCCCUUACACUGUGCUAGGAUGGAGCAAUGGCGGUGCUGCCCCACAUACGUCGCCUCUCAGCUCAGCUGCCUCCGAGUUUCCCGGGUCGCUGUGCUGGGAAAGCCGAGGGGGAACGGGCCGGACAAGCCCAGCGUGCUCCAGCUGGGAGGGAUGGAGGGUCACAAGUCCUGGCCCCCGUUUGCUAGGCGCUGGGGAAACCUCAAAAAACAGCACGAAGGAGGAGGAACGAAGGCCCCUUCCCCAGGCCCCUUGUGCCAGGAGCAGGGAGCGGGGCUGGCUUGUCACCGCAGGAGGUUUUGGGUUUCCUGGAGCUCAGGCAGCAGGAGCCGGCUCUCCCCUCCCUUCACGGCCAGCGCUGCCUCGCUUGGGUGCGGACCCCACGGGGCAGGGACGAUUGCUCUCUGACAUGCUGCUGCCACACGACGGCAAUGGGAAAAAGGGCACUGCUGUGGGCCAGGCCGCCCCUGGGACCCGCUGAAAAAUCCCCAGCAAACCCCAACCCCUGCCGGGCUGGGAGAGACCGCGGGAGCUCUGCAGCGCGGUGCCAGGAGAACUGCCCUGGCCUCUCCCUACUAGCACCGAGUGCCGUGCCCAGCUACCAGCUUUCCUCGGCCCCAUGCGCUCCGCCAGCUCCGCCUGGAGCCCUCCACGCGGGGGGCAAAGAGGUCACCGGGCCUCGGGGCAGCGCGGGACAGCCAGCAGAGACCACCUGGGAACUGAAAGGCUUCUGGAGACCCUGCGGGAGCCAUGAAGGGAUUGAAGAAAGCCAAGCUGCUCUCAUGUUUCAGGGCCGGGCAGCGGGAGCAAAGGCUCACCUGUAACCUUAUCCCUGCCCCGGGAACUUCAAAAGGGCCACUCAGCUGGAGACUGGCCACGGCCACGGAGCAGAGCACCUGGGCCGCGGCCGGCGAACGGCUCAUCUAGGAGCCCCUGGCAUCGUGCGUUUUGGAGGCUGUCUCCCGGCUGCACGGGGCUCUCCUCUCUGGGGGCUCCCCGGUGCUUAUCCCUCGGCUGUUGGGGGUCCUUGCAGAGCGAAGGGGAGGCUGGCGGGCAGGGCUCCUCUAAACAGCCGCUCCUGAACAGCUCCAUCGUGGACGUGUUUAGCCCAGAGCAGGAGGGCCUCAAUCGCGGGCUGCUGAGCCCGGCGGUGCGUGGCUCUCCCGUCACACCGAUGCCCUGCAGGCAGAGAGCGCGGCACGGCCCCGAACAGCCCCACAGGCCCCUGUGUCGCCCACCCAGCCCAGGCUAUGCGGAGGAGGUGGGGGGCAUGGAUCCAGCCCCUGCAGCAGCCUCCUUCGCGCGGGGUGAGGUCCCGCGGGUAGAGCCCAGGCAGACACCGGGGGCACAGCUAGAGCCAGGGGCCGGCUCCCUGCACAGAUCACGCGUGUGCCGAGGCACGUGGUAGAAGAGGUGCGGACUGGCCGCCCGUGCCCCCUGCUCCGUCCCUGUGGAGGUGGCGAGGUGGCGCUGGGAGGGCCGGAGACAAGGGCCUCCGGGCUCCCCCACAGCUCGGAGCAGGGGAACGAACCCCGGACACGGGGCAAGUCCAGACAGGAGUCUGGUCUGCUCCAAGCAUCUGCAAAGUUCAGGGUCGGCCUCGAGCUCCUGCCCUCGCCCGAGGCAGGCGUCAGGACAUCCCCAGGGCAGAGGCCGUGCAGGGACAAGAUGAGCACAAGAGGCAGCAGUUUGAGCGGCUCCAUGGAGCAGGAAGGCCGCAGAGCCCCGGUCAGCGCAGCAGCCCUGACGUGCCCGCACUCCCGGCUGGCUCCUGCUCAUCCAGGAUGGACGAGAGCUCCAGGGCUGGGAUCGGCUGGAGACACGACCACUGUCCCGGUCAGCACCUGCUGCGACUGGGAUCAGACGAGACAAGACCAAGUCCCCAAGGGGUGCCAGGGUGCGGCAUAAAUGCGGCAAUGCCAGCAGCAUCCGUGCCAGCACUCGUGACGGGGCAGCGACUGCCAUCGGCAUCCUCUGCGCCGGGAAGCCGGCUCUGUUUGGGGAUGCUGGUGGCUGGACUAGCGAGGGGCUGGGGAGGUGCUGGGUGACCGGCUGCAGGAUGAGGGGCACUGGAGAUUGGGAGGGGGGCACUGGACAGCUCGUGCUCAAAGCCAGCCAGGUUUUCACAUGCCAGCUGGUACCCGGUGUCCCGAGCACAAGCAACCGGCUGCCCAGCAGAAGCUUCUGGCCUGACAGCACAGGGAGAAGGAGGUUUGAGAUGCCAGCACGGCACAGACCGGCUCCCUUGCCCCAGGCUCUGGUCUGGGAUGACCUCCAUGGCCCCUGGACAGAGCACGGGGCCUUCCACCGUCCCACCCUGCCCCCUCGCAGCCAGCACCACCGGGGCAAGAGCCGCGUGCCGGCUCCAGCCUCCUCCCUCCCCACCUUCCCCGAGCACCCAGCUCCUGCCUGCGACGGAGGGCGUGCAAUCGUUAGACGUACCGGGACGAGAUGGCAGCACCGAGUGAACAGGGCCUGGACCUGGGACCCGCAAUCUGAGCGGAGCUGGGGCUGGCGGGAGCCGGCUCAAGGACACCUCGGGCACCUGGGUUGCACGCAAAGCGAACAGACGGCACGUAACACGGUACCGAAGUGGUGGCAGCACAGGCCGACGGGCACGGGGUGGCGAGCACGGCCCCCCCAUCCCCGGUGCCUGGGUGCACGUCCCCUCCCGCCCCCCGACCUGCGCUAUCGAUGAGAUGGGCCGGCUCCGCCGCCCUGUAAUUUACUGUUCCUGCCGCGCUUAAUGGCAGCGGAAAGGCAAGGUGAUAGGGGAAAAAAUAUGAGGCGGGAUUUUCCGAAUCCCCAUUUCCUCUCCAGACAGCACGAGAACUCCUGGGGCCUGAACAUCUGGGAAAUUUAAUUUCACCGUUUCGGAGCUGAACUCCCCUUCCCCCUCCUGCUCCCCUUCCCCCUGCCACCCCCCCACCGUAACAAAGGAAGCGUCGCAAUAGAGGCAGCGUGCGCGGUAGCUGCGGGAGCCCCGCCGAACGCAGCCCGGCCCGGGGGCAAGGCCCCGAAUGCGCCGUGUCUGCAGGCAGCAGAGUAAAGACCGAGACAGGAAGACGGCGAUUCGGAGCUAGACGAUUACGGAUUCAGGAAGGACAAGGAGGAGGAGCGGGAGGAAGGACGGCAAAGCCACACACACCACACAAAGAGACACGGACAGGCCCGCGUCGCCGGGGAGCCCGGCAGGACCUGGGCCGGCCCCGGACACGCCGCCCAGGACAGACCGAGCCGCCUCCGGCCGGGGCCAUGGCUGCAGGUGGCAGGCGGAGGCAAGCAGGCCCCUGGGAGGGCAGGGCUUGGACGUGCUCGGCGCGGCAGCCCCGGGACAAACGGUGCUGCCUGGGGACUGCCCGCGGCAGCGGGCCCUGCCCGGAGGACCCGAGGGGCGGGGAAGCGUCUGCAGACUCUGGGGAGGAGGGAACCCCCCGUCCGUCCCCAUCUCCACGGACGCUGCCAGGGCUGGUGGAGCGGCGUUCAGAAACACCGCAGCCCCCCGGCCCCGGCAGGGCUGGAUCAAUACAUGCUGGUGUUUCAUGUCAUUGAUACGGUGAUAUAAAGCCGGAGCGAUUUGUAUAAUUAAAGGUAAUAUGGUGGAGACCCACGGCGCGAGCUCCCUUCCUUCCCAGCCCCCUGCCCGCUGUGCGCAAUAAACCUCUAGUUUCACCUUCA